AGUUUUAGUUUUACCAAUGACCUUUCACCUUGCGACAUGACUACAUUUCGGGUAUUGAUAAGACGCCUGCAAGCCACAGCUCGGUCUUUUCAGCUCCGGACGAGCGCGACCUUCCUUCCUCCCCCGAUAGGAAUCGGUGACGAGGAUUAAGCCUCACGAGAGGCUGGAUUCAGAGUUCAACGACAUCUGCGAGGGAAAGGGCGAUUUGUUCAUCAGAAGAUGGGAUGCCAUCAUCAUUCCACAUCUGAUCGAUGUUGCGCUUAAGGAGAAGAGUGAAAUUGCUGCCCUCGUUCAGGGAGUGACAGACCUUACAGAUGAUGAGAAGACCUACAAGAUGUUGGUUGCACUAACUCGUCUUCUACCUCCAGUCGCCUCCAGUCGCUGCAGUGUCAAGUCGGCAAUCACCCAUCUUAUUGAUUUUGUACCCACUGGAACUAACAUCUCAACACUCUGUGAUGCCACUGAGUCUGAGGGCAAAGCACUCCAGCCACAUCUCGUUUCUGUUGGUCGCUUCGAGGAUGCAGCACAGCAGUACGUCAUCGUUGGGAAGAGUGACAAAGUCAUCAUUCCACUGGAUGAAGAUCUCACUGGUGCUGUGGACAAACUGUUCAAGGUCUUCUGGGUCUGCAACCUUUCAUAUCCACCUGAACUCUCCUCAGUUUUUGCAUUCUUGAAGUAUGUCUACAAUAUCCCUCUCUCCACAACCAGGGAGGCGCGGGUAAUGGACCUAAUUUCCAAAAUGAACUCAGUUCAGUAAUCAUAACAGCAAUGUAUAUUUGUCCAAAAUGCAAUAUGUACUUCAAGCAGAGUAAGAUUCUGAUUUGGCACUUGCGUGAAGUGCAUGCAUUGUCAGAUCAAUUGGACUUCCCUCUGAUUUGCAGCCAGGAUGGUGGCCCUAGGACAUACCAAUGUAUUAAUUAUUUUUCCAAACACUUGAAUCGACAACACAAAAUUACAAAUGAUUUUGAGGAUCAUCAGCCAAAUCCACAGCCUUAUCCUCAGCCUGAUCCACUACACGCCACCUCAUCAGAAUUGCCUCGUCAAAAUGAAGCUGAAGAGCUCUCCAACAAUAACUGUUGUGCAGAGGGCAUUGUUGAGCCUGAACGCUCUCUGACUAGGCCCAAGGGGGCUACAGCAAGAUUUGUUGCAAACAUGUAUAGUGGUUCAAAUGUUCGCCUCACUGAUGUAACCCGAACUGUAAACAAUGUGAAGGACCUAAUGGAAUCUACUGUAAGUGGAUUGUAAGAUUCAGUCAUUUCAACUUUAAAAAGCUUGGGUGUGCCAGAGAACGAUGAAAGGGUGCAGUCGCUCAUGUGUGACUUUGAGAGUGCCAAACACACGUUUGAUGAAAUUGAUACACCCCAUAAAAUGAGCACAUAUUUCUGGAUGUUUUGUAUUUCGACUACCAUUUUUAUGCAUAUGUGGUGAAGGUGUCGAAGACCAUCGAACUGGUCAUACUAGAUGAUUUGGCUGAUUUUAGGCCCCUUGAUAUUGUACGAGAUUUCAACUCAGAUAAACUGUAUAUAAACCCUAAAUAUAAAAUCUUUUAAAUCUGA
Engraulis encrasicolus (European anchovy) is the source of this 1556-nucleotide long non-coding RNA. RefSeq lists it as uncharacterized. The record is from RefSeq and is a predicted model, not a curated record. The transcript has 4 exons. NCBI's taxonomy places the organism in Eukaryota, Metazoa, Chordata, Actinopteri, Clupeiformes, Engraulidae.